GUGUCAGCAGCCGCGGUAAUACGUAGGGGGCAAGCGUUGUCCGGAAUUAUUGGGCGUAAAGCGCGCGCAGGCGGUUCUGUCAGUCUCGUGUUUAAGCCCGGGGCUUAACCCCGGUACGCAUGGGAAACUGCAGGACUGGAGUGCAGGAGAGGGGAGCGGAAUUCCACGUGUAGCGGUGAAAUGCGUAGAGAUGUGGAGGAACACCAGUGGCGAAGGCGGCUCUCUGGCCUGUAACUGACGCUGAGGCGCGAAAGCGUGGGGAGCGAACAGGAUUAGAUACCCUGGUAGUCCACGCCGUAAACGAUGAAUGCUAGGUGUUAGGGGUGUCUCAACCCGUAGUGCCGAAGUUAACACAAUAAGCAUUCCGCCUGGGGAGUACGGCCGCAAGGUUGAAACUUAAAGGAAUUGACGGGG
RNAcentral lists this ribosomal RNA (414 nucleotides) under uncultured prokaryote. Its description in RNAcentral is "bacterial SSU rRNA". It matches the Rfam family "Bacterial small subunit ribosomal RNA", at positions 505 to 918 of the family's 1533-position model. The record is from RNAcentral.